This 69-nucleotide transfer RNA is filed under the name Marmota monax (woodchuck). It matches the Rfam family "tRNA". Rfam says of the family: Transfer RNA (tRNA) molecules are approximately 80 nucleotides in length. Their secondary structure includes four short double-helical elements and three loops (D, anti-codon, and T loops). Lineage: Eukaryota; Metazoa; Chordata; Mammalia; Rodentia; Sciuridae. The record is from Rfam by way of RNAcentral.
GGUGUUUUAGCUCAGUGGUAGAGUGCUUGCCUAGCAUGCAUGAUGCACUGGGUUUGAGCCUCAGCACCA